GGGAACCUUCCUAAAGAUAUCAGUGUCGAGCGGAUCUUGAGGAGCUUGCUCCUGAUGGUUAGCGGCGGACGGGUGAGUAACACGUGGGCAACCUGCCUGUAAGACUGGGAUAACUUCGGGAAACCGGAGCUAAUACCGGAUAAUCCUUUCCCUCUCAUGAGGGAAAGCUGAAAGUCGGUUUCGGCUGACACUUACAGAUGGGCCCGCGGCGCAUUAGCUAGUUGGUGAGGUAACGGCUCACCAAGGCGACGAUGCGUAGCCGACCUGAGAGGGUGAUCGGCCACACUGGGACUGAGACACGGCCCAGACUCCUACGGGAGGCAGCAGUAGGGAAUCUUCCGCAAUGGACGAAAGUCUGACGGAGCAACGCCGCGUGAGCGAUGAAGGCCUUCGGGUCGUAAAGCUCUGUUGUUAGGGAAGAACAAGUAUCGGAGUAACUGCCGGUACCUUGACGGUACCUAACCAGAAAGCCACGGCUAACUACGUGCCAGCAGCCGCGGUAAUACGUAGGUGGCAAGCGUUGUCCGGAAUUAUUGGGCGUAAAGCGCGCGCAGGCGGUCCUUUAAGUCUGAUGUGAAAGCCCACGGCUCAACCGUGGAGGGUCAUUGGAACUGGGGGACUUGAGUGCAGAAGAGGAAA
RNAcentral lists this ribosomal RNA (639 nucleotides) under Bacillus sp. QS13. RNAcentral's name for it is "bacterial SSU rRNA". It matches the Rfam family "Bacterial small subunit ribosomal RNA", at positions 38 to 660 of the family's 1533-position model. Lineage: Bacteria; Bacillati; Bacillota; Bacilli; Caryophanales; Bacillaceae. The record is from RNAcentral.